GCUUUUUAAACCAGGGCACCGUCUGAGAGUCGUUUUUGAUUAGAUGUUGACCUCAGAAAUAUGCUCGCAUCAUUUUGCAAACAUCUCCCAGCACCGCAGAGAUCAACUCCGUGGAGGAAGGACGCUGCGUGGACAGUGGCCAGGACCGGGUGUGUGGUGGCUGCUGCUGUGGGGGGACAAGGGCCUUCCCGCGGGCUCCUGGGAAGCUGCUAGCCUGAAUCCGUGAGGAUGCCAAGCCUGUCGCACCUCUGGACACACGUGUGACCAGGGCCAGCACUGGGGAGGAUGAUAGUGGUGGUCAUCUCUGUCAUCGUCCACACUGGCCACCGUAACGAAGUGCUCACUCUGGAUCUUUCCAUUUCCAAAGGAGUCGCAUUAAGCAACCUCAUCCCGUCCUCACAGCAUCCUGCCAGAGUUGGGCCUGGAGGGCAUCUUUGCACACGUGGCGUGACUGGGCCAGCUCUCACUGGCCACCACUCAGGUGCCUGGGGACAACCAAACCCAUCAG
Molecule: long non-coding RNA, 508 nt
Filed under: Fukomys damarensis (Damara mole-rat)
Lineage: Eukaryota; Metazoa; Chordata; Mammalia; Rodentia; Bathyergidae
Description: lncRNA (ENSFDAG00000022791.1)
Source: RNAcentral